Molecule: long non-coding RNA, 612 nt
Organism: Physeter macrocephalus (sperm whale)
Lineage: Eukaryota; Metazoa; Chordata; Mammalia; Artiodactyla; Physeteridae
Exons: 3
Source: RefSeq, a predicted model, not a curated record
GCCACGGGCCACGCCUCUAACCUCUCUAGUCUCCUUCCUCUCUGUCUUUUGUACAUGCACCUGCCCAGGUGAGACCUCAAAGAAAAAUAACCCGGUGUGCCCACCUAAUCUGGUAACUGAAGGCACUUCCAGUCUGGGGUCAUCUUAAUCUGAGUUCCAGCAAUACUCCACUGUUAAUUUCCAGAAGGAAGAGACUUGGUUUAUUCAUUAUAGGUACUCCAGGAUUUGGAACAGUGCCUGGCACCUGCAGAUGCUCAAGAAUUCUUUGUUGACUGAUGGACUGAAGUAAUGAAUGAACAAAACAGCUCUGCAAGGAAUGGACUAUCAUAAUUCCCAUAGGACAAAUAAGGGACAUGAAACAAGUAAAGUUAAGUGAUUUGAUUGUUACACAUAAAAUAUGUUGUAGGUGAAAGCAUGUCUGCUAACACCACAGUCAACACUUUUUAAAAAAAUUGAGGUAACAUUGGUUUGUAACAUUAUGUAAGUUUCAUGUGUGCACAUUAUAUUUUGAUUUCUGUAUACACUACUGCAUGCUAACCACCAAAAGUGCAGUUUCUAUCCAUCACUGUGUAGUUGAGCCUCUUUACCCAUUUCACCCUCCCUCUACCCCAC